RNAcentral lists this ribosomal RNA (377 nucleotides) under uncultured organism. RNAcentral describes it as "partial 16S ribosomal RNA". It matches the Rfam family "Bacterial small subunit ribosomal RNA", at positions 527 to 897 of the family's 1533-position model. The record is from RNAcentral.
GGAGGGAGCGAACGUUGUUUCGGAAUUACUGGGGCGUAGAGGGGCGUGUAGGCGGUCGAGUAAGUCAGGUGUGAAAUCUUACUGCUUAACAGUAAACCUGCAUUUGAAACUGCCCGACUUGAGGUCAGGAGAGGAGAGCGGAAUUCCCAGUGUAGCGGUGGAAUGCGUAGAUAUUGGGAAGAAACACCAGUGGCGAAGGCGGCUCUCUGGACUGACUCUGACGCUGAGGCGCGAAAGCUAGGGGAGCAAACAGGAUUAGAUACCCUGGUAGUCCUAGCCGUAAACGAUGGGCACUAGGUGCUGGGAAUAUCGACAUUUUCAGCGCCGUAGCUAACGCAUUAAGUGCCCCGCCUGGGGAGUACGACCGCAAAGGUUGA